ACCCAAUAUAUAAUCCAGAAUGUUGAAGACAGAAUACUGCUUUGUAUAAAACCAUAACGGCUCCACGCACACGCGUUACUGUGAGGAACACAGAGACAGAGAGUGAAAUCGAAUUCAAAGGUCUAGGUAUGAAUAUACACACAUGAGUUUAAAGCUUGGGCCAUCUGAGUAUCAAGCUUGGCCAUAUUAUCAGAGCGAGUAUCGUAUGGUCAGUUGCCUGCUCAUCUGGUCUAAAGCUUGGCCUUCUUUAGCAUCACUCUCUUUCCACGCAUUCCAUGGCUUGGUGGUCACAUGACUCCGAAACUAGCUCGGGUCAUUCGUCACCACUCGUCUCGGCUUGUCCCGUAAUAACACGAGUUGGUCACGAAUGUAGCUCGGGUAAGCUUCCUCUCCUGACUGCAUCCCACCACCACGUCACCAGGAACACAACUUAAACCCCUACCAGGCCUGGGAUGCCGAAAGAACAGGCAGCUGCGGUUGAUCCUCGUCCAGAGAAAGUCAAAACGUCCAGAGAAAGUCAAAACGCCCCGCAUCACGUAACAGCAUCCACAAGAGUCGGCGAGACAUCAGACCCUGAUCUGUCAGCCAUUGGUUACUUCUACAGCAACAUAGGUUGAUGGUCAAUACAAACUAUAAGACUGACGCUUAUUCCCUGAAAAUAAAUAAUUUUGAUAGAAACAAAUAACUCCUUUUAAUUGAAAGGAGCCCCAGUGAGAUAUGAGAUUCAGAACCCGAGGAAAAUCUAGACUUCUGAA
RNAcentral lists this long non-coding RNA (755 nucleotides) under Haliotis rufescens (red abalone). RNAcentral describes it as "uncharacterized LOC124152926, transcript variant X2". The record is from RNAcentral. Lineage: Eukaryota; Metazoa; Mollusca; Gastropoda; Lepetellida; Haliotidae.